Molecule: long non-coding RNA, 1597 nt
Filed under: Capsicum annuum
Lineage: Eukaryota; Viridiplantae; Streptophyta; Magnoliopsida; Solanales; Solanaceae
Description: long non-coding RNA (CANN_LNC006667)
Source: RNAcentral
UAACUACCUUCAAGCCCUAUAUCAGAUUAGGACUUUUCCUUUUACCUCCCAUAAUGUUGCUUCCUCUCCUCUUUUCUCUCUCUCCUUCAACGUCCCUUUACCCUUUCAAGCAAAAUUUUCAGGGUUUUCACCAUGGAAAGAGGUUAGGUACUCCAUUUUUAUAUUAUGGUCUUUUCAAUCACGUGAAUCUACAAACUCUAUCCCAAACGUUCAAAUUUGGACGUCCCUUUGAGCAUGGAUUCAAAAAUUUAAAAGUGAAAUCCCGCCCAAAAUGAAAGAUGGAAGCCCUAAUUUCUUUCUAUAAAUACCCUCUUUCAAGUUCUAUCUCGGGGGGCUGGAGAAGUGACCUCCAUCUUUGUUGCAAAAAGCUUUUUCAAACACUUCUCUAUCCCAAAGCUUUUCGAAUCCACUAUUAGUUGCCCUCUUCAUUAGAAAAGCUUUAAAUUUUAGUCGUUUGUUUUUCUAGAGUAUAUAAAAAAGCCUCCCUGAUUUUUAUUUUUGGCCUUGGUCAAUUUUGAUGUCAAUUUAUAUUACUCCAUUUGAGGUUUGAGUUGUUUUGAGAGUGGUGAGUAGAUUCGGUCCCGAAGCUCUAGUUGUCGAUUUUUUGUUCUUUUGCCAAUAUGUAGUCAUGUUUGCAUCUUGCUUGAUUUAUUGAAAAUUCUCAAUGUAAGGUAAAAAUUUUACUCCAGACAAAUUGUUCUUAUGUUCUACUUUCUUGAUAAAUCACGUGUAAGGUGUAUUAUUUGUUCUAAUGAAUUUAGUUUUCAAUAUGCUAAGUCUGAAAUAUUGAUAUGAUAUUUGUUUUUACGCUUAGAGAUCGUACCCAUAAGAGUUUUGUGUUAAAACUUUCUGCUAAGCAUGUAAUGCUAGGCUCUCUCCUUUUGAUAUUAAAAAUUGUAUAAGAAAAUUUAAUAAGCUCUCUCAUUUGUUUGGUUGAUGAUUUAGAAGUUAUAAAUGUUCAGAAGUCUCGCUCCCUUCCUUUGAUAAAUAUAUAUAUAUGAGGUUUAUUAUAUGAUUCUCCUGGAGACUUAAUUUAAUACGGUGAAAAGAAAGCAUAAAUCAAUGGACAUGUCCUAUUAUCAGUUUCAAACAUAUUGAUUAUUGACUGUCUUAUUUUAGUCUUUAGUAUUACAUGUGAAUAUUUUAGUAAGCAGAUUGUUAAUAAGAUGUAUGCAAAUGUGGUUCUCCGUGAUCUUUCGCUUACGUUGUCUUUUAUUCAUAUUAAAAGUUGACCUCCUUUUAAUUAUUUUUUUGUUUUUCUCUUUAUAUGUACACUUCAGAGCAAAUGGAGUCCUAACGUAGGACUCUCGCAAAAAGGGGUCUCAAGACGAGACUCUAACGCAUCCGUACUUGGAGUCAUACAUUGUGUUUCUUAGAAUGCAUCAACCCUCAAGUAAACGAGUGAAACCUUGGGAUUGUUUAGGGUGUCUUCCUUUAUCAUUUGUUACUAUUAUUGUUAUAUUACUCUGUUUUGUUAUUAGUAGCUCAUCUAUGUGUGACUUGGUUCUUUUAUUUUCCCUGAAGUUUGAGGUUAUCUAUUGAAUUUCAUUUUAAGCACUAGAUUAAUCUUUAAUAGCUAAGGUCAUUUUAUUAUGCG